UAUGACAUCUCUGUAUCUCAGUUCUCAUUUCUGAAAGUUGAGUUUAUAUAUGAUCAUUCUCUUAUAAUCUCAUUCCUUGCCUCCAGGUUCAAAUGGAAUACUCUGGCUAUCAUUCACUGUUCAUGCCUUGAAUAUAAGAAUACAGAUUGGGGGCAAGAUGGCGAAAGAGUAGGGUCCCCAAGUCACCUGUCCCGACCAAGUUACCUAGAUAAUUUUCAAAUCAUCUUGAAAACCUACGAAUUUGGCCUGAGAUUUAAAGAGAGAACAGCUGGAACGCUACAGAGAGAAGAGUUCGG
RNAcentral lists this long non-coding RNA (296 nucleotides) under Canis lupus familiaris (dog). RNAcentral's name for it is "lncRNA (ENSCAFG00040012135.1)". The record is from RNAcentral. Lineage: Eukaryota; Metazoa; Chordata; Mammalia; Carnivora; Canidae.